GCCCUUCGUCCUUCAUCGGCUCUUAGUGCCAAGGCAUCCACUGUACGCCCUUAUUUUCUUCAUUAUUUUGAGAAUUUACGUUGUUUAUCUACUUUUCAAAGAACUUUUUUGAUUUUCAGUACAUUUAGACUGGUGGGCCUAAAUGGACUUGAACCACCGACCUCACGCUUAUCAGGCGUGUGCUCUAACCAACUGAGCUAUAGGCCCUUAAAAUCUUAAAGAAUAUUAUAUUAAAAGAAUUAACUAAUGAAAAAAACGAAAAACUUAUUUUUUAAAUUAACUUAAGUCUUUCAAAACUGAAGAUGAUGAUUUUAAAAAAUUUCCUUAGAAAGGAGGUGAUCCAUCCCCACCUUCCGGUAGGGAUACCUUGUUACGACUUAACCCCAAUCAUCGACCCUACCUUAGACGAUUCCCUCUGCUUACGCAGUUAGGCUGUCGCUUUCGGGUAUUGUCCACUUUCGUGGUUUGACGGGCGGUGUGUACAAACCCCGAGAACGUAUUCACCGCGACAUGCUGAUUCGCGAUUACUAGCGAUUCCAACUUCAUGAAGUCGAGUUGCAGACUUCAAUCCGAACUGAGACUAUUUUUUUGAGAUUUGCCAAAAACUCGCGUUUCAGCUACUCUUUGUAAUAGCCAUUGUAUCACGUUUGUAGCCCAGAUCAUAAGGGGCAUGAUGAUUUGACGUAAUCCCCACCUUCCUCCAAUUUUCAUUGGCAGUC
Molecule: ribosomal RNA, 719 nt
Filed under: Coconut lethal yellowing phytoplasma
Lineage: Bacteria; Bacillati; Mycoplasmatota; Mollicutes; Acholeplasmatales; Acholeplasmataceae
Description: partial 16S ribosomal RNA
Source: RNAcentral